GACGAACGCUGGCGGCGUGCUUAACACAUGCGAGUCGAACGGAAAGGCCCUGCUUUUGUGGGGUGCUCGAGUGGCGAACGGGUGAGUAACACGUGAGUAACCUGCCCUUGACUUUGGGAUAACUUCAGGAAACUGGGGCUAAUACCGGAUAGGAGCUCCUGCUGCAUGGUGGGGGUUGGAAAGUUUCGGCGGUUGGGGAUGGACUCGCGGCUUAUCAGCUUGUUGGUGGGGUAGUGGCUUACCAAGGCUUUGACGGGUAGCCGGCCUGGGAGGGUGACCGGCCACAUUGGGACUGAGGUACGGACCAGACUCCUACGGGAGGCAGCAGUGGGGAAUAUUGCACAAUGGGCGGAAGCCUGAUGCAGCAACGCCGCGUGCGGGAUGACGGCCUUCGGGUUGUAAACCGCUUUCGCCUGUGACGAAGCGUGAGUGACGGUAAUGGGUAAAGAAGCACCGGCUAACUACGUG
This 468-nucleotide ribosomal RNA is filed under the name uncultured bacterium. Its description in RNAcentral is "partial 16S ribosomal RNA". It matches the Rfam family "Bacterial small subunit ribosomal RNA", at positions 28 to 507 of the family's 1533-position model. The record is from RNAcentral.